GCCCACUCUUAAACCCCGGCUUUGUUUCGCACAAACCGCACCCCUACUCACAUAGCCACAAUUCUUCACCUAUAUACCUCAAUUCACUUGAGAUUCUCCCUUAGGCGUGCAUUAUAAAGGGCAUCAACACAUCAAUUUCACAAGAUUUCAACUUUUUCAACUCCAUCAUUUCAAGAUAAUCAAGCUAUUUUGCUACACUUGCCAAAUUUCAAUUUUUAUGUGUAGUAGUACUUAACUUCUUGAAGAUAGUUGGAUUAGAUUGGUAAAUCAGCUUAGGUACUGUUUGGAUUUUGUGGUAAAAGUUAUGAUUUUUGGGAGUUAAACACAAUUGUUUAUUGUUCUUGUAUUUUGUUUAUAAGUGAUGCAAACCAAGUGUUUGUCAAAAUGCCAAUGUGAAGCCUUUGAUUGAAUUAGUGCCCCGUAUUCACACUAAUAUUCACGUUUGCAGCACAUUUUGAAUGUAUGCAAGGUUCAUCCUGCAUCCCAUGCAUUACCAACCUGCGGUCCUACAUUAUAACCACAAUCCUUGCAUUCCAUCGCUUUCCCCGUUUUCUGCAUGCGUUCCCUAUAUUUGGCCCCCAUCACACAUAUCUAUUAUGCUCUGUGUAAAUUAUUUUAGGCCCUAUUUCCUUUCUUGUCUUGGACUAAUAUUAUUUUUUUACCUUUUAUUUGACAGGAUGCUGCCUAAAUGAAAGCAAGACGCAUCUGUGUAAAUUAUUUUAGGCCCUAUUUCCUUUCUUGUCUUGGACUAAUAUUAUUUUUUUACCUUUUAUUUGACAGGAUGCUGCCUAAAUGAAAGCAAGACGCAUCUAUCUCCAAAGGAAAGGAAAAGGCUUCCAUAUCCACCAUGGUACGAACACGUGUUUAUGAUGAAGGCAUGCAAUGAUUUCAGAUUGCAGAUCACAAGAGGCUAUUUUAUCGAGUAUUGAUGAAAAGGAAUAUAUGGCUUGAGAGUUGAGAUGUAGGCCAUUUUGGGAGAUUUUGAAGGGUAUGAUAUUGAAACACUCAUAUGUAGAGCAUGAUGGUCAUGUGUGAUUGAUAAACAACAUAGGAUCUACCGUACGAUGUUAUAAGAAUUCUAUGCAUGAUUUUGAAUUAGAGCAUGAGCAAUGAAGUUGGAUACGAGAUAAGUGGAUGAUACUUCCCCUGAGGUGAUCGAGGAGUUCUAUGGUUUGACUCGGAAAAACAUCGUCCCAAUACCUUUGGAGCAAGAUACAACCUUGGUUACUCGAAUGCUCUACGAGGUAUAGGAUGAGGUAGGUGAGGAGUUCAAAUACGAUCAAUUGACUCAUUCCUUGAUCGUUCUAAGUAAGUUCAUUUGUCACAACAUUGAGCCCACCUCACAUAUGUCACAUUUAAAUAUGCAAAAGUGAGGCUACUUUAAUAAUUGGCAAGGGUUUUCAAGAUACAUAUAGGUACAUGCAUCUAUAAUCAGAUUGUUGAGUUUGCUUCUCUGCCAGAACGUCAUCAGAAGUUGAUUGUUCUCAGCCUCAUUUGUGGGUUUUGCUUAUCAUCGGAGGGUAUGACUUCUUUCAACAGAGCGACCAUGCCUAGCCAGUGUCCCUUUUAGUCGUAAGACCGCGGAAAUUCGUGGCAAAAUAUCCUCCAGAGCAGGCAGUGUCAGUAGCAACCAUUGUAGAAGGCCAUGGGCCCGCAGUCUCCACAGCCAGAUCCUAUCAAUGACACUCCAGUCCACUCCAGCGACAGUUGAUUGUGGACUCAACUGAGACCAUCCAGGGCUUGCUACGGAUAAAGCAGUUACUUGUGUCCUUGGAUAUGAAAGAUGGUUGUGUGGAGACCCGUGCUACUGCUAUACAUGAUCAUGUGUUGUCGCUACAAGAUGAUGCAUCCAGUGUGAGUAGGAGGAGCAAUAUGGUCAUAGAGAGGAUGGAUAGAUAUAUUGGACGGAUUGAUGAUCUUAUUAUCCAGGUUGAUAGGUCCAUUGAUAUGAUGAGAAGUGUGCAUGCCCCAUUACAAUGAGAGUUAUGAUAUAGUGCGAGGCAUGCAAGGUUGAAUUGAUGAGAAGUCCGCUCCAUGAGAGAGAUUCUCUCACACCUACUCCCAUGUUCUCCAUUUUCUUCAGAUCCAGCAAGUUUUGGGGCUUCUCUACCGUUCCAUCACUGCUACCGUCAGAUUGACCAAAAAAAUCUCUAUUUUCCUUCUUUGCCUUUUGUUUUGCAUUUCACUAUCAUAUUUUUGUACAUUGAGGACAAUGUACAUGUUAAGUUUGGGGUGGCUGUUGUUUUAUCAUCGAUUGUUCUAUAGAAUUAACUGCUUUUGUGUGAUUGUCAACUGUCAAAAAAAUGUAGAAAAUCAGAAAAAUUCAUAAAAACAUGUCCUUUUAUGCUUUUUAUUACUUUUGAGUGUUUAUGUGCCCAUGAAGUAAGAUAAUACCAGCCUCGGGUCUUAUCCACCCCAGCUGUUAUUUUAGGGAUAUAAAGGGUCGGAAAGACGGAGAAGGGCAUCUCAACCCCAAGGGACGCCUCUUUCCACAACAUUCAGGAGCCCACCAUUUGGCUCCAGGAUUUCAGAUUGAGUUGGGUCGGAGCUAACCCAUAGGACCUAAGUACCAAGAAAGGGUGAAUUGGAAGCCUAAGGCCAGCUCUAAGACUUGCCAUCAAUGAUGUGUAUAUUAGAAUAAUCUAUUAAACUAAAACUUG
RNAcentral lists this long non-coding RNA (2660 nucleotides) under Olea europaea subsp. europaea. Lineage: Eukaryota; Viridiplantae; Streptophyta; Magnoliopsida; Lamiales; Oleaceae. The record is from RNAcentral.